GAACUUAAGCAUAUCAAUAAGCGGAGGAAAAGAAACCAACAGGGAUUGCCUUAGUAACUGCGAGUGAAGCGGCAAAAGCUCAAAUUUGAAAUCUGGCGUCUUUGGCGUCCGAAUUGUAAUUUGGAGAGGCAACUUCGAAGAUGGUGCUGUCCUAAGUUCCUUGGAACAGGAUGACAUAGAGGGUGAGAUCCCCGUGCCUGGAUGGCUGUCCAUCUUCAUGUGAAUUGCCUUCGAAGAGUCGAGUUGUUUGGGAAUGCAGCUCAAAAUGGGUGGUAAAUUUCAUCUAAAGCUAAAUAUUGGCGAGAGACCGAUAGCGCACAAGUAGAGUGAUCGAAAGAUGAAAAGCACUUUGAAAAGAGAGUUAAAAAGUACGUGAAAUUGUUGAAAGGGAAGCGCUUGAGACCAGACUCGAUUCGUGGUGAUCAGCUGUGCUUCUGUACGGUGCACUCGCCAUGGAUUGGGCCAGCAUCGGUUCUGACGGUGGGAUAAAAGGUUGAGGAAUGUGUCUUCCUUCGGGGAGUGUUAUAGCCUCACUCACAAUGCCACCAGCUGGGACCGAGGACCGCGCUUCGGCUAGGAUGCUGGCGUAAUGGUCUUAAGCGACCCGUCUUGAAACACGGACCAAGGAGUCUAACAUCUAUGCGAGUGUUCGGGUGGAAAACCCUUGCGCGUAAUGAAAGUGAACGGAGGUGGGAACCCGCAAGGGUGCACCAUCGACCGAUCCCGAUGUCUUCGGAAGGAUUUGAGUAAGAGCAUAGCUGUUGGGACCCGAAA
RNAcentral lists this ribosomal RNA (774 nucleotides) under uncultured fungus. RNAcentral's name for it is "eukaryotic LSU rRNA". It matches the Rfam family "Eukaryotic large subunit ribosomal RNA", at positions 30 to 821 of the family's 3401-position model. Lineage: Eukaryota; Fungi. The record is from RNAcentral.